This 405-nucleotide ribosomal RNA is filed under the name uncultured bacterium. RNAcentral's name for it is "bacterial SSU rRNA". It matches the Rfam family "Bacterial small subunit ribosomal RNA", at positions 355 to 776 of the family's 1533-position model. The record is from RNAcentral.
UGGGGAAUCUUGCGCAAUGGGCGAAAGCCUGACGCAGCAACGCCGCGUGGGGGACGAAGGCCUUCGGGUUGUAAACCCCUUUCAGCAGGGACGAAAAUGACGGUACCUGCAGAAGAAGCCCCGGCCAACUACGUGCCAGCAGCCGCGGUAAUACGUAGGGGGCGAGCGUUGUCCGGAUUUAUUGGGCGUAAAGAGCUCGUAGGCGGUUUGGCAAGUCGGGUGUGAAAACUCCGGGCUCAACUCGGAGACGCCACUCGAUACUGCCAUGACUCGAGUCCGGUAGGGGAGUGCGGAAUUCCUGGUGUAGCGGUGAAAUGCGCAGAUAUCAGGAGGAACACCGGUGGCGAAGGCGGCACUCUGGGCCGGAACUGACGCUGAGGAGCGAAAGCGUGGGGAGCGAACAGG